AUACGGAGGAUCCGAGCGUUAUCCGGAUUUAUUGGGUUUAAAGGGUGCGCAGGCGGCCAUUUAAGUCAGCGGUUAAAUCGUGGGGCUCAACCCCAUUCUGCCGUUGAUACUGGGUGGCUUGAUUGCGGUCGAGGUUGGCGGAAUUCGUUGUGCAGCGGUGAAAUGCAUAGAUAUGACGAAGAACACCGAUUGCGUAGGCAGCUGACCAGACCGCAAAUGACGCUCAUGCACGAAAGUGCGGGGAUCGAACAGGAUUAGAUCCCCUGGUAGUCCGCACAGUAAACGAUGAAUACUUGUUUUCGGCGAUAUAAUGUCGGAGGCAAAGCGAAAGCGAUAAGUAUUCCACCUGGGGAGUACGCCGGCAACGGUGAAACUCAAAGGAAUUGACGGGG
RNAcentral lists this ribosomal RNA (392 nucleotides) under uncultured bacterium. RNAcentral's name for it is "partial 16S ribosomal RNA". It matches the Rfam family "Bacterial small subunit ribosomal RNA", at positions 523 to 918 of the family's 1533-position model. The record is from RNAcentral.